UACGGGGGGAGCAAGCGUUGUUCGGAUUUACUGGGCGUAAAGGGCGCGUAGGCGGCACUGCAAGUCAGUUGUGAAAUCUCCGGGCUUAACCCGGAAAGGUCAACUGAUACUGCAGGGCUAGAGUGCAGAAGGGGCAACUGGAAUUCUCGGUGUAGCGGUGAAAUGCGUAGAUAUUGGGAGGAACACCAGUGGCGAAGGCGGCUCACUGGACCGGUACUGACGCUGAGGCGCGAAAGCGUGGGGAGCAAACAGG
RNAcentral lists this ribosomal RNA (253 nucleotides) under uncultured bacterium. RNAcentral's name for it is "partial 16S ribosomal RNA". It matches the Rfam family "Bacterial small subunit ribosomal RNA", at positions 524 to 776 of the family's 1533-position model. The record is from RNAcentral.